RNAcentral lists this non-coding RNA (187 nucleotides) under Bacillota bacterium. RNAcentral's name for it is "6S RNA". It matches the Rfam family "6S / SsrS RNA". From Rfam's summary of the family: E. coli 6S RNA was the first non coding RNA to be sequenced, but its function was unknown until recently. It consists of 184 nucleotides that fold into an extended hairpin structure with a large single-stranded internal bulge. The record is from RNAcentral. Lineage: Bacteria; Bacillati; Bacillota.
AUCUUCCUGCAAUGUACGAAGAUUUAUAUUUGGUUUUGAUCCUAUAUAGAUGAUCGGGGGUCAAAUAAGCUUUUAAAGUAGGUCAAGCCCUCCUUAGGGAAAGGGAAGACUGAACUACAAGAUGAAGACACCCACCUGCGAGAGCAGGGUCAGAAACCAAAUAGUCCAACGGCUUUGCGGGGGAUCU